AUGCACGCCGUCGUCCUCCGGUGCGAAGCCCUCGAGGAGCCCGACGUCCAGGCCACCAGCUGGAUCGCCCAGGUCCGCGACCUCGCCUACGACAUCGAGGAAUGGGUCGACCUCUUCGCCCACCGCGCCGACGCGGGCACCAACAACGCCGACGCCGGCACCUCCCACCGGUUCUCCCGCUGGAUCCGCCGGCUCACCACCAUCCCCGACCGCCACAUCUUCGCCAUCGAGCUGAAGGUGCUCCGAGCGUGCGUCGUCGAGGUGAGCAAGCUGCGGAAGCGCUACAGUCUCGACCCGCAGAUGUUGUCUCAUCACGCGCCCGCCGUCGACCCCCGGCUCUUCGCGCUCUACGCUGACAGUGCCGGCCUGUGGCAUGGACGGGCCGCGGGACGAGGUGGCAGGGAUGGCUGUCAAGGUCCAUUGUGCCUUGAUGGUCUCUACAAAUUGCUGCUUUUGAGGUACUUGAACCUCAAGGGAACAUAUGUUAGCGAGCUCCCAGAACAGAUUGGACAGCUAAGAUGCCUGGAGACACUGGACGUGAGAUCCACAAAGGUGAAAGAUCUACCUCCUAGAAUUGUCAAGCUGGAAAAGUCAAUGCAUUUACUCGCCGGGAAUGCCAAGUUGCCGAGUGGGAUAACCAAGAUGAAUUCAUUGUUGAUACUUUUGUGCAGCAAUAUUGGGAAGAGCGCUGAGGCGAACAUCAUUCAAGAGCUCAGUGAAAUGGUUGAAGUGCUUGAGCUAAAGUUUGAAGAAGGCCUUUCAGAGGAGUCGAGUGGCGUGUCAUCUGUCUGGCCUGAAGCAUAUGAUCGUCGAGUUUUCACAGCAUUAUGUGGAAACUUUAUGUUGCCUUCAGUUUCAGUCCAAACUAAACUUGCAGACUGA
This 882-nucleotide ribosomal RNA is filed under the name Triticum aestivum (bread wheat). RNAcentral's name for it is "partial small subunit ribosomal RNA". The record is from RNAcentral. Lineage: Eukaryota; Viridiplantae; Streptophyta; Magnoliopsida; Poales; Poaceae.